AAACUAACAAGGAUUCCCCUAGUAACUGCGAGUGAAGCGGGAAAAGCUCAAAUUUAAAAUCUAGUGCUUGCACUCGAGUUGUAAUCUGGAGAAGCAUUUUCCGCGUCAGACCGUGUACAAGUCUCUUGGAAUAGAGCGUCAUAGAGGGUGAGAAUCCCGUCCAUGACACGGAUUACUGAUGCUUUGUGAUAUGCUCUCGAAGAGUCGAGUUGUUUGGGAAUGCAGCUCAAAAUGGGUGGUAAAUUCCAUCUAAAGCUAAAUAUUGGCGAGAGACCGAUAGCGAACAAGUACCGUGAGGGAAAGAUGAAAAGCACUUUGGAAAGAGAGUUAAACAGUACGUGAAAUUGUUGAAAGGGAAACGCUUGAAGUCAGUCGCGUUUGCUCGGACUCAGCCUUGCUAUUCAGCUUGGUGUACUUCCUUGUGAACGGGUCAACAUCAAUUUUGGUUGGUGGAUAAAGGUUGAGGGAAUGUGGCAUCUUCGGGUGUGUUAUAGCCCUUUACUGCAUACGCUGGCUGGGAUUGAGGACUGCAGCACGCCUUUAUGGCCGGGGCUUAGCCCACGUAACGUGCUUAGGAUGUUGGCAUAAUGGCUUUAAGCGACCCGUCU
This 608-nucleotide ribosomal RNA is filed under the name Lyomyces pruni. RNAcentral's name for it is "partial 28S ribosomal RNA". It matches the Rfam family "Eukaryotic large subunit ribosomal RNA", at positions 62 to 654 of the family's 3401-position model. The record is from RNAcentral. Lineage: Eukaryota; Fungi; Basidiomycota; Agaricomycetes; Hymenochaetales; Schizoporaceae.